This 426-nucleotide ribosomal RNA is filed under the name uncultured bacterium. RNAcentral's name for it is "bacterial SSU rRNA". It matches the Rfam family "Bacterial small subunit ribosomal RNA", at positions 28 to 459 of the family's 1533-position model. The record is from RNAcentral.
GAUGAACGCUAGCGGCAGGCCUAAUACAUGCAAGUCGAACGAGAUUAAGAGGCUUGCUUCUUAUGAAAGUGGCGCACGGGUGCGUAACGCGUAUGCAACCUACCUUAAUCAGGGGGAUAGCCCGAAGAAAUUCGGAUUAAGACCGCAUAAAAGCACAGGAUAGCAUUAUCCAAUGUUCAAAUAUUUAUAGGAUUAAGAUGGGCAUGCGUGUCAUUAGCUAGUUGGCGGGUAACGGCCCACAAGGCGACGAUGACUAGGGAUCUGAGAGGAUGACCCCCCACACUGGUACUGAGACACGGACCAGACUCCUACGGGAGGCAGCAGUAAGGAAUAUUGGACAAUGGGCGAAAGCCUGAUCCAGCCAUGCCGCGUGUGUGAAGAAGGUCUUCGGAUUGAAAGCACUUUAAGUGGGAGAAGGGCAGUAAG